RNAcentral lists this ribosomal RNA (253 nucleotides) under uncultured bacterium. RNAcentral describes it as "partial 16S ribosomal RNA". It matches the Rfam family "Bacterial small subunit ribosomal RNA", at positions 524 to 776 of the family's 1533-position model. RNAcentral also lists the same sequence under 1 other name. The record is from RNAcentral.
UACGUAGGGUGCGAGCGUUAAUCGGAAUUACUGGGCGUAAAGCGUGCGCAGGCGGUUCGCAAAGUCUGAUGUGAAAGCCCCGGGCUCAACCUGGGAACUGCAUUGGAAACUAACGGGCUCGAGUGUGGCAGAGGGGGGUGGAAUUCCACGUGUAGCAGUGAAAUGCGUAGAGAUGUGGAGGAACACCGAUGGCGAAGGCAGCCCCCUGGGCUAACACUGACGCUCAGGCACGAAAGCGUGGGGAGCAAACAGG